Long non-coding RNA from Oxyura jamaicensis (ruddy duck), 464 nucleotides. RefSeq lists it as uncharacterized. NCBI's taxonomy places the organism in Eukaryota, Metazoa, Chordata, Aves, Anseriformes, Anatidae. The transcript has 3 exons. The record is from RefSeq and is a predicted model, not a curated record.
GAAGACCUUGGAGAAGCAAGCCACAGUGAGACAGGGAACAACAUUUCAUAUCUGCUCGGGGCCAAGGGAGGAGGUCCUCUGCUCGCCGUGCCAGCAGCCACUCUGGGGAUCGAAGUAUCUCAACAGCACUCUGACACUCACCACACCCAGCUCUGCAACAGCCACCACCCCAUGCUGUGCCAGCCCAGAUAACCCUGUUACACAAUGGAGAAAUGAAACCUCCUGGAAAGGAUGCAGCAUGUUGUUACAGUAAACACUGCAUAAAGAGCUUUGUUUCUAACUGCUUAAGCGAGGUAGCUGUAAGAUGAAAGUCCUUCCCUUUGCAUCUGAAGCAUAAUAAAGGAAAAAGAAGAGCUGUUGUAGAAGGUGGGUGGAGACAUCAAUUAAUUAAUUAAGAGAGGAGGUGAGGAGAAAGCAGAAAGGUUUUUACCCAGUAAAUUCCAGCACAUUUUUCAUCAGGUAUA